This 228-nucleotide ribosomal RNA is filed under the name uncultured Enterobacterales bacterium. RNAcentral's name for it is "partial 16S ribosomal RNA". It matches the Rfam family "Bacterial small subunit ribosomal RNA", at positions 104 to 334 of the family's 1533-position model. Lineage: Bacteria; Pseudomonadati; Pseudomonadota; Gammaproteobacteria; Enterobacterales. The record is from RNAcentral.
GGGGUGAGUAAUGUCUGGGAAACUGCCUGAUGGAGGGGGAUAACUACUGGAAACGGUAGCUAAUACCGCAUAACGUCGCAAGACCAAAGAGGGGGACCUUCGGGCCUCUUGCCAUCAGAUGUGCCCAGAUGGGAUUAGCUAGUAGGUGGGGUAAUGGCUCACCUAGGCGACGAUCCCUAGCUGGUCUGAGAGGAUGACCAGCCACACUGGAACUGAGACACGGUCCAG